RNAcentral lists this ribosomal RNA (1306 nucleotides) under uncultured bacterium. RNAcentral describes it as "partial 16S ribosomal RNA". It matches the Rfam family "Bacterial small subunit ribosomal RNA", at positions 28 to 1381 of the family's 1533-position model. The record is from RNAcentral.
AACGUACGCUGGCGGCACGCCUAACACAUGCAAGUCGAACGAAGUAGCAAUACUUAGUGGCAGACGGGUGAGUAACAUGUGGGUAUCUGCCCUUUGGCCUGGAAUAACACGAGGAAACUUGUGCUAAUACCGGAUAAGUCUUUACGGAGAAAGCUUUAUGCACCAUUGGAUGAGCCCGCACUUGAUUAGUUUGUUGGUGGGGUAAUGGCCCACCAAGACUGUGAUCAAUAGCUGAUUUGAGAGGAUGAUCAGCCACAUUGGGACUGAGACACGGCCCAAACUCCUACGGGAGGCAGCAGUGGGGAAUCUUGCACAAUGGAGGAAACUCUGAUGCAGCGAUGCCGCGUGAGUGAAGAAGGCCCUUGGGUUGUAAAGCUCUUUCGUCGGGGAAGAAAAUGACUGUACCCGAAUAAGAAGGUCCGGCUAACUUCGUGCCAGCAGCCGCGGUAAUACGAAGGGACCUAGCGUAGUUCGGAAUUACUGGGCUUAAAGAGUUCGUAGGUGGUUAAAAAAGUUAGUGGUGAAAUCCCAGAGCUUAACUCUGGAACUGCCAUUAAAACUUUUUAGCUAGAGUAUGAUAGAGGAAAGCAGAAUUUCUAGUGUAGAGGUGAAAUUCGUAGAUAUUAGAAAGAAUACCAAUUGCGAAGGCAGCUUUCUGGAUCAUUACUGACACUGAGGAACGAAAGCAUGGGUAGCGAAGAGGAUUAGAUACCCUCGUAGUCCAUGCCGUAAACGAUGUGUGUUAGACGUUGGAAAUUUAUUUUCAGUGUCGCAGCGAAAGCGAUAAACACACCGCCUGGGGAGUACGACCGCAAGGUUAAAACUCAAAUGAAUUGACGGGGACCCGCACAAGUAGUGGAGCAUGUGGUUUAAUUCGAAGAUACGCGCAGAACCUUACCAACACUUGACAUGUUCGUCGCGACUCUAAGAGAUUAGAGUUUUCGGUUCGGCCGGACGAAACACAGGUGCUGCAUGGCUGUCGUCAGCUCGUGUCGUGAGAUGUUGGGUUAAGUCCCGCAACGAGCGCAACCCUCACUUUUAGUUGCCAUCAUUAAGUUGGGCACUCUGAAAGAACUGCCAGUGAUAAGCUGGAGGAAGGUGGGGAUGACGUCAAGUCCUCAUGGCCCCUACGUGUUGGGCUACACACGUGCUACAAUGGUAUCUACAACAGGAAGCAAGACUGCGAGGUCAAGCAAAUCCUUAAAAGAUACCUCAGUUCGGAUUGCACUCUGCAACUCGAGUGCAUGAAGCUGGAAUUACUAGUAAUCGUGGAUCAGCGUGCCACGGUGAAUGCGUUCCCGGGUCU